RNAcentral lists this ribosomal RNA (253 nucleotides) under uncultured bacterium. Its description in RNAcentral is "partial 16S ribosomal RNA". It matches the Rfam family "Bacterial small subunit ribosomal RNA", at positions 524 to 776 of the family's 1533-position model. The record is from RNAcentral.
UACGGAGGGUGCAAGCGUUAAUCGGAAUUACUGGGCGUAAAGCGCGCGUAGGCGGUUUGAUAAGUCGAUUGUGAAAUCCCCGGGCUCAACCUGGGAAUUGCAGUCGAGACUGUCAGACUAGAGUGUGGGAGAGGGUGGUGGAAUUCCCGGUGUAGCGGUGAAAUGCGUAGAUAUCAAGAGGAACACCUGAGGUGAAGACGGGUUGCUGGGCUGACACUGACGCUGAGGCACGAAAGCCAGGGGAGCAAACGGG